CGCUCGAUGUUUUUCUUCUAUAUCGAGUCGAACCUGCCCAGUGAUUUUUAUUUAACGGCCGCAGUACUCUGACUGUGCAAAGGUAGCAUAAUCAUUUGCCUUAUAAUUGGAGGCUAGUAUGAAUGGUUUGACAAGAAUAACGCUGUCUCUUAUAGAUUCUAUAGAAUUUGGUUUUUAGGUGAAGAAACCUAAAUAUAAUUAAAAGACAAGAAGACCCUAUCGAGCUUAAAAUAAUUUUUUUGAUAUAAUGAUAACACCUUACUCAAAAAAAGAUUUUAGUUGGGGCGACUAAGGAACACAAAAAGCUUCCUAUAAACUAUAAUUACUAAUAAGUAUUGAUCCAAAAAGUUUGAUUAACAGAAUUAGUUACCGUAGGGAUAACAGCAUAAUCUUUUCUAAGAGUCCUUAUCGAAGAAAAGGUUUGUGACCUCGAUGUUGGACUAGGGUGCCCAGACAGGUGCAGAAGCCUUCAAUGGUUGGUCUGUUCGACCAUUAAUACCCUACA
Molecule: ribosomal RNA, 505 nt
Filed under: Pseudamnicola meloussensis
Lineage: Eukaryota; Metazoa; Mollusca; Gastropoda; Littorinimorpha; Hydrobiidae
Description: partial 16S ribosomal RNA
Rfam family: Bacterial large subunit ribosomal RNA
Source: RNAcentral